Molecule: ribosomal RNA, 413 nt
Filed under: uncultured bacterium
Lineage: Bacteria
Description: bacterial SSU rRNA
Rfam family: Bacterial small subunit ribosomal RNA
Source: RNAcentral
CAAUGGGGGCAACCCUGAUCCAGCCAUCCCGCGUGUGCGAUGAAGGCCUUCGGGUUGUAAAGCACUUUUGGCAGGGAAGAAACAGCCUGGGCUAAUAUCCCGGGCGACUGACGGUACCUGCAGAAUAAGCACCGGCUAACUACGUGCCAGCAGCCGCGGUAAUACGUAGGGUGCAAGCGUUAAUCGGAAUUACUGGGCGUAAAGCGUGCGCAGGCGGUUCGGAAAGAAAGGUGUGAAAUCCCAGGGCUUAACCUUGGAACUGCACUUUUAACUACCGGGCUAGAGUACGUCAGAGGGGGGUAGAAUUCCACGUGUAGCAGUGAAAUGCGUAGAGAUGUGGAGGAAUACCGAUGGCGAAGGCAGCCCCCUGGGAUGAUACUGACGCUCAUGCACGAAAGCGUGGGGAGCAAACA